Molecule: transfer RNA, 74 nt
Filed under: compost metagenome
Description: tRNA-Phe
Rfam family: tRNA
About the family: Transfer RNA (tRNA) molecules are approximately 80 nucleotides in length. Their secondary structure includes four short double-helical elements and three loops (D, anti-codon, and T loops). Further hydrogen bonds mediate the characteristic L-shaped molecular structure. tRNAs have two regions of fundamental functional importance: the anti-codon, which is responsible for specific mRNA codon recognition, and the 3' end, to which the tRNAs corresponding amino acid is attached (by aminoacyl-tRNA synthetases). tRNAs cope with the degeneracy of the genetic code in two manners: having more than one tRNA (with a specific anti-codon) for a particular amino acid; and 'wobble' base-pairing, i.e. permitting non-standard base-pairing at the 3rd anti-codon position.
Source: RNAcentral
GGUCCGGUAGCUCAGCUGGUAGAGCACCUGCCUGAAGAGCAGGGUGUCGGGGGUUCAAAUCCCUCUCGGACCAC